UAGGGAAUAUUGGGCAAUGGUGGCAACACUGACCCAGCCAUGCCGCGUGCCGGAAGAAGGCGCUCAGCGUUGUAAACGGCUUUUUAAAGGGAAGAAAAAGGGUUACGUGUAAUCCGACUGACGGUACCUUUAGAAUAAGCACCGGCCAACUCCGUGCCAGCAGCCGCGGUAAUACGGAGGGUGCAAGCGUUGUCCGGAUUUAUUGGGUUUAAAGGGUGCGUAGGUGGCUUGUUAAGUCUGGGGUGAAAGACGGGCCGCUCAACGGUCGCAGGGCCCUGGAUACUGGCAGGCUAGAGUACGAGUGAGGCCGGUGGAACGGGUGGUGUAGCGGUGAAAUGCAUAGAUACCAUCCAGAACACCGAUUGCGGAGGCAGCCGGCUAACUCGGUAACUGACACUGAGGCACGAAAGCGUGGGGAGCAAACAGGAUUAGAUACCCUGGUAGUCCACGCUGUAAACGAUGCGAACUCGCUGUUGGCCCAUUAGAGUCAGCGGCUGAGCGAAAGCGUUAAGUUCGCCACCUGGGGAGUACGCC
This 534-nucleotide ribosomal RNA is filed under the name uncultured bacterium. RNAcentral describes it as "bacterial SSU rRNA". It matches the Rfam family "Bacterial small subunit ribosomal RNA", at positions 355 to 886 of the family's 1533-position model. The record is from RNAcentral.